CAAGAAAAGAGUGAGGAGGGAGAAAGAGGGAGGGAAGGAGGGGGGAGCGGAGCGCCUCCAGGCAGAAGUUGCGCCGCAAUUUGUUCUCUGUGGAUGCUUUCCCUCCUCUCUCACAGCCUGGGAGGAAUCAGGAAAGGAGGAGCGGCAAAGAGAGAGAGAGAGGGAUACAGCUCGAGACGAGCCCAGCAGCCAUACGCCGCGCGCUGAACCCGGAUUAAAUGAGUUCGCCUCGUCCAAUCGCUGCGCACGGGCGAGGGGAUUAUUUGCAUGGCGCGCGGGAGGAGUGACGUCCGGAGAACUCCACCAGGUCUCAGGGGCCUACUCCAAAUUCCAGUACUUGAUCCAGUUUGAGCAUGGAACCUUACAUGAAGAUCAUUUUAUCUUGAAUAUAGAGAGUGAAACCUCUCUCCGGAUGGAUCUUUUCUUGGUGUGACUUCGGGCGUCGUCUUCAAAGGAACACCAACCGCAAAACCCGGUCUGACUGCUGCUUCCUACACCCACAGGAGUGCUCUUAGGGUCCCAUCUACACCGGCCAUUUAAUGCGGUUAGAAACUAGCUUCAACCGCUGGGCCCAGGCAACAAACUCCUACAAAAGCGCGGGAAAGAUAGCCCACCCCGCCCAGCAUCAGAACAAUGUAGUUUGUGUCAUCACACUAGUUCCACUUUUGUCAAUGCCGGUGUGAGAGAAUUGGAGAAUUGGCCGCCUGCAAGGACGUUGCCCAGGGGACGCCCGGAUGUUUUACAAUCCUGUGAGAGACUUCUCUAGUGUCCUUGCAUGAGAAGCUGGAGCUGACAAACGGGAGCUCACCCCGCUCCCGGAUUCGAACCAGCAGUCCUGCCGGCUCAUUAAUCCACCGAUUUGAAAGUGACUCAAAUGAUCAGUGUAGUGAAGUCCUGGGUGACUCUAGGGCACGUUUGGAAACCAAACGAAGGGUGGAUCCUAGAUUCUCAACUUUUGGGACAGAAUCCGGUUGUAUCUACACUGCCAUAUAAUCCGGUUCAAAGUAGAUAAUCUGGAGUUAUAUGGCAGUGUAGAUCUACCCUUAGGCCCCAUCUAAAAUCUAGAUUUGUUGUCGUAUUAGGAGCGACUUGGGAAACUGCAAGUCGCUUCUGGUGUGAGAGAAGUGGCCGUCUGCAAGGACGUUGCCCAGGGGAUGCCCGGAUGUUUUGAUGUUUUUACCAUCCUUGUGGGAGGCUUCUCUCAUGUCCCCCCAUGAGGAGUUGGAGCUGGAGCUGAUAGAGGGAGCUCAUCUGCGUUCUCCCCGGAUUCGAACCUGCGACCUGUCGGUCUUCAGACCUACCUGCACAGGGGUUUAACCCACUGUGCCAGGGGUGGGGGUGGUUAUCUAGAUUAUCUGCUUUGAAGUGGAUUAUAUGGCAGUGAAGACUCAUAUAAUUCAGUAUGAAACAGGUAAUGUGGAAGCAAACCUUUUGAGCAAAAGGGUGGGCAGUGGAGCACUGAGUCUAUAAAGAGGGGUUGCCAGGAGACAAAGGAUGAACUGAUUUUAUUUUUUCUUAUUAAAAUAAUAUCAUAUGAC
Non-coding RNA from Anolis sagrei ordinatus, 1538 nucleotides. NCBI's taxonomy places the organism in Eukaryota, Metazoa, Chordata, Lepidosauria, Squamata, Anolidae. The record is from RefSeq and is a predicted model, not a curated record.